Naumovozyma castellii is the source of this 88-nucleotide transfer RNA. It matches the Rfam family "tRNA". Rfam says of the family: Transfer RNA (tRNA) molecules are approximately 80 nucleotides in length. Their secondary structure includes four short double-helical elements and three loops (D, anti-codon, and T loops). Further hydrogen bonds mediate the characteristic L-shaped molecular structure. tRNAs have two regions of fundamental functional importance: the anti-codon, which is responsible for specific mRNA codon recognition, and the 3' end, to which the tRNAs corresponding amino acid is attached (by aminoacyl-tRNA synthetases). tRNAs cope with the degeneracy of the genetic code in two manners: having more than one tRNA (with a specific anti-codon) for a particular amino acid; and 'wobble' base-pairing, i.e. permitting non-standard base-pairing at the 3rd anti-codon position. The record is from Rfam. NCBI's taxonomy places the organism in Eukaryota, Fungi, Ascomycota, Saccharomycetes, Saccharomycetales, Saccharomycetaceae.
GGGAGUGUGGUCUAGUGGUAUGAUACCCGCUUUGGGAAUUUAUUCUUGAAUAUGCGGGUGGCCCGGGGUUCAAUUCCCCGCUCUCCCC